This 77-nucleotide transfer RNA is filed under the name candidate division WWE3 bacterium CG_4_10_14_0_2_um_filter_41_14. RNAcentral describes it as "tRNA-Arg". It matches the Rfam family "tRNA". Rfam says of the family: Transfer RNA (tRNA) molecules are approximately 80 nucleotides in length. Their secondary structure includes four short double-helical elements and three loops (D, anti-codon, and T loops). The record is from RNAcentral. Lineage: Bacteria; candidate division WWE3.
GCUCCUGUAGCUCAGUUGGAUAGAGUGCAACGUUGCGAACGUUGAGGUCACAGGUUCGAAUCCUGUCAGGGGCACCA